This 494-nucleotide long non-coding RNA is filed under the name Canis lupus familiaris (dog). RNAcentral describes it as "lncRNA (ENSCAFG00845011950.1)". Lineage: Eukaryota; Metazoa; Chordata; Mammalia; Carnivora; Canidae. The record is from RNAcentral.
UAGAACUAGAGGUUCCUGCAAGCACGCAGCCCCUGAAGACAUUCAGCCAGUGACUCCUAAGAGAGCCCAACACUUGAACUUCCCAGAGAGAGCUCUGCCAAAGAUUCAGAGGUGGUCAAGAGGAAAAGCAUUCCACACCCAGGACUGUGCUUACAGAAUCACAAAUGUGUGUAAGUGGGAGAAAUCUCAGAAACUCAAAAGCUGUCCACACCAUGACUAAUGGAAGCAAUACACACAGGCAAGUGAUUUGGAUUGAUAAAUUGCCCCUAUGAGUUUUCGAGGACCAACAGCAGCAAAUUAUAUAUUGCUACAAUUCCCAAACAACCCCUGUAACAAAUAAGCUGUUUUUCUGUGGCGUCAACCAAGUAGUAACUGUGUGAUCUCCAUCCCAGGCCCAGGUAUGUGUCCCCAGCCAGCACCUUGCAGGCAGCACCUGCUUCCCAGGGAGCAUCUUCAGAUGUUGGCGUGCCUGGGGGCUUCCAGCCUGGAAUGGG